UACGUAGGGUGCAAGCGUUGUCCGGAAUUACUGGGCGUAAAGAGCUCGUAGGUGGUUUGUCGCGUUGUUCGUGAAAACUCACAGCUUAACUGUGGGCGUGCGGGCGAUACGGGCAGACUGGAGUACUGCAGGGGAGACUGGAAUUCCUGGUGUAGCGGUGGAAUGCGCAGAUAUCAGGAGGAACACCGGUGGUGUAAACGGCUUUCUGGACCAUAACUGACACUGAGGCACGAAAGCGUGGGUAGCAAACAGG
RNAcentral lists this ribosomal RNA (253 nucleotides) under uncultured bacterium. Its description in RNAcentral is "partial 16S ribosomal RNA". It matches the Rfam family "Bacterial small subunit ribosomal RNA", at positions 524 to 776 of the family's 1533-position model. The record is from RNAcentral.